Molecule: RNA transcript, 2070 nt
Organism: Zea mays
Lineage: Eukaryota; Viridiplantae; Streptophyta; Magnoliopsida; Poales; Poaceae
Gene name: Ferroportin superfamily protein pseudogene
Exons: 9
Source: RefSeq, marked validated
UUGAAGGCCUGGCUCACGAAAGCACCUUAUCCAUUUCGUCUCCCGCGCCGCGCGUCUCCCUUCCCGGCUGUCGACGGCGCCUUGCAGGCUUGCACCGACCCGCGGUCAUGGCGCCGUCCGUGUCCAAGAUGCUCUCGACGCCUCCGUACCACGCAUAUUACACCUGGCGUCGCCGCCUCCUUCCCCAAGAAACAGCCGCGUCGCCCAAUCCGAGCCCGGCGAGCCGUCGAAUCGCGCCGCCGCUCAGCCGGAGUCCAGCGAGGCGCUUCGUCCCGAUCUGCGCCUCGGCAUCAGACCGCGCAGGCGCGACGACGGCGGCCCUGGUCGAAGCCGAGGAGGAAGCAGAGCUCGACGGCCCGCCGAUGGUCCAGCUGUCUUCAGACAUCCUCCGUACGGAGCUUAGUUUGCUCAAGGCCGACGCGCCCCCGGCCGGUGGCGACUCGUCUCUCGGCAUCACCGCCCUUGAGGACCAAGACAGCGAGGAUGGCCGCCACUCGGGAGGAAGAGAAACCGCUGCUUACCCAGCUGCCAUGAACGCGUUGUACGCGGCCUGCCUCGCUGGGAUUCUGGGAACGUGACCGAGCAGCUGUGGAACUUCACCUGGCCCGCCGCCAUCGCCACGCUGCACCCCAGCCUCCUCCCCGUCGCCGUCCUCGGCUUCUUCUCAAAGCUCGUGGUGUUCGCGGUGGGCCCGCUGGUGGGGGAUCUUGUGAGCUCGCUCCCCCGGAUCCCAGCGUACCGAUCACUAACGGUGAUCCAGACGGCGGCGCACCUGGUGUCCGCGGCGAUGGUCACGUACGCCUUCACCGUCCCCCGGGCUCCAGCUGCAUCGGCGCUGCUCCUGCGGCCGUGGUUCGCCACGCUGGUGGCGUCCACAGCCGUCGACCGCCUCUCCUGCGUCUCCCUCGGCGUCAUCGCAGAGCGCGACUUCGUCGUCCAGGGGAAGGCAGGCCGAUCGCGCUGGCGCGGGCGAACGCGGCGCUCAGCAGGGUCGAUCUCCUCUGCGAGACGGCGGGAGCGUCCAUCUUCGCCGUGCUGCUCUCCAGGAACCACCCGCUGACCUGCGUCAGGCUCUCCUGCGCCGUCUCGCUCUGCUCCCUGCCCCUUCUGUUUUUUCUAGGCGGCGCGAUGAAUCGUCUCGCUGACGGCAUCUUGGACCGCUCUGCUAGUGCCGGUCCGGCCCCGCUGGAGCGCCCAGGACGACAUGGGAGCGCGGCGGUUGGCAAAGCCUGGGAGACCAUCAGGCACGGCUGGACAGAGUACCUCCGGCAGCCUGUGCUACCGGCGAGCCUCGCCUACGUGCUCGUCUGCUUCAACGUCGCGCUCGCGCCCGGCGCUCUCAUGACCACCUUCCUCAUCCACCUCGGCGUGAGCGCGUCGGUGCUCGGUGCGUUCGGCGGGUCGUCGGCGGUGGUGGGGAUUCUGGCCACGUUCGUGACUCCAUAUCUUGUCAAGGAGCUGGGCAUUCUCAAGGCCGGAGCGGCAGGGCUGGUCGCGCAGAGCGCGCUCCUCGGCGCGGCAGUCGUGGUCUUCGUCACUGGCCCCGUCUCACGGCGCGGCGCUCUCUUCGCCUUUCUUGGCUUCAUCGUGGCUUCGCGGCUGGGGCACAUGGCGUACAGCGUCAUCGGACUGCAGGUGGUGCAGACGGGAAACCCCAUGGGGAAGGCCAAGCUGAUCGGCGCCACGGAGAUCGCGGUGGCCAGCCUCGCCGAGCUCGCCAUGAUGGCCGUCGCCGUCGUCGCUGGGGACGCCGCGCACUUCGGCUGCCUGGCCGCGCUCUCGGCCGCAUCGGUCGCCGCCGCCGCUUGCCUGUUCUGCGCGUGGCUGGCCAACCCCACCGACGACCUCAGGAGGCUCUUCCCAUGUUGAUACAGGAAUAGGACUAGGAGACGCAAAUUUUUGGAGAAUAGCCAAUUCGUGUACCUAGCUCCAAAUGUUUUGCAGGUAUAAGCUCCAAUUUUUUUUCCGUGUUCUGCAUCCACUUUGAUUUUUGAAAUCAAUAUUAGAGGAAGGACAUAAACUUGCAAUAAACUUUAUCCAAAAAUAAUUAAGUGGCAGACAUUAAUAUCG